AAGAUAAACACAUCAGCUGAAAGGAGUAAAAGUACAUGACUGAUUUAUGGAAAGUGCAAGAUGAAAACAUGAAAGAAAGCAAUGCACAGAAGGGGUUGCACAAUUUGACAAAGUGCUUCCAGCUACCAGCAGCUACACAGGAACCACUGUGUUGUAUUGCUCCAUGUCAGGGGCUUAAUCAGUGAAUGGUACAAGGACACAUGAAGGCUUAUCAAUAAAGGAAUGGCAUUUCUCAAUUAGUACAAACUGGAUGCAUCCUAUAUCCUCUUUUUCUAUACACAGGACAUAAGAUCGCCAGAGGGAUUCACAGUAUCGCAGUAUCACAGUAUCAUCAGGGUUGGAAGAGACCUC
This is a long non-coding RNA of Pogoniulus pusillus (Red-fronted tinkerbird), 351 nucleotides long. RefSeq lists it as uncharacterized. Lineage: Eukaryota; Metazoa; Chordata; Aves; Piciformes; Lybiidae. The transcript has 3 exons. The record is from RefSeq and is a predicted model, not a curated record.